AAUUGCUUGCUUAACUAUUAUCCGCGAAUUCUUUAGUUGCAAGCAUACUCAAUCAAGUCACAUUCUAUACAUCAAACUGUCGCUAAGUUUAACUUUCACUGCGCAUAUAUACAACUUAGCAUAAUUAAUCAAAAAGUUUUAGAAGUAGCAUAAAAGUUUUAAAAGACCCAAUUCACCCCCCCCCUCUUGGGUUGUAUCUACUGGGC
RNAcentral lists this long non-coding RNA (206 nucleotides) under Phoenix dactylifera (date palm). RNAcentral describes it as "long non-coding RNA (PDAC_LNC007993)". Lineage: Eukaryota; Viridiplantae; Streptophyta; Magnoliopsida; Arecales; Arecaceae. The record is from RNAcentral.